UACGUAGGGCGCAAGCGUUGUCCGGAAUUAUUGGGCGUAAAGGGCUCGUAGGCGGUUUGUCGCGUCGGGAGUGAAAACCUCGGGCUUAACUCGGGGCUUGCUUUCGAUACGGGCAGACUAGAGGUAUGCAGGGGAGAACGGAAUUCCUGGUGUAGCGGUGAAAUGCGCAGAUAUCAGGAGGAACACCGGUGGCGAAGGCAGCUCGCUGGGACGGUACUGACGAUGAGGCGCGAAAGCGUGGGGAGCAAACAGG
Molecule: ribosomal RNA, 253 nt
Filed under: uncultured bacterium
Lineage: Bacteria
Description: partial 16S ribosomal RNA
Rfam family: Bacterial small subunit ribosomal RNA
Source: RNAcentral